RNAcentral lists this ribosomal RNA (292 nucleotides) under uncultured bacterium. Its description in RNAcentral is "partial 16S ribosomal RNA". It matches the Rfam family "Bacterial small subunit ribosomal RNA", at positions 505 to 796 of the family's 1533-position model. The record is from RNAcentral.
GUGCCAGCAGCCGCGGUAAGACGAACCGUGCGAACGUUGUUCGGAAUCACUGGGCUUAAAGGGCGCGUAGGCGGGUCAUCAAGUCAAGGGUGAAAUCCUCCAGCUCAACUGGAGAACUGCCUUUGAUACUGGUGGUCUUGAGUGGGGUAGGGGCAUGCGGAACAAUGGGUGGAGCGGUGAAAUGCGUUGAUAUCCAUUGGAACUCCGGUGGCGAAAGCGGCGUGCUGGACCUCAACUGACGCUGAGGCGCGAAAGCUAGGGGAGCAAACGGGAUUAGAUACCCCGGUAGUCC